UACAGAGGUCCCAAGCGUUACUGAGAAUCACUGGGUUUAAAGGGUGCGUAGGUGGUCCGUUAAGUCAGUUGUGAAAUCCCCGGGCUCAACCCGGGAACUGCUUCUGAUACUGGCGGACUUGAGGCCAGUAGGGGUCACUAGAACUGACGGUGGAGCGGUGAAAUGCGUAGAUAUCGUCAGGAAUGCCGGUGGUGAAGACGGGUGACUGGGCCUUACCUGACACUGAGGAGCGAAAGCGUGGGGAGCGAACAGG
This 253-nucleotide ribosomal RNA is filed under the name uncultured bacterium. Its description in RNAcentral is "partial 16S ribosomal RNA". It matches the Rfam family "Bacterial small subunit ribosomal RNA", at positions 524 to 776 of the family's 1533-position model. The record is from RNAcentral.